This is a long non-coding RNA of Raphanus sativus (radish), 374 nucleotides long. RefSeq lists it as uncharacterized. The transcript is spliced from 2 exons. The record is from RefSeq and is a predicted model, not a curated record. NCBI's taxonomy places the organism in Eukaryota, Viridiplantae, Streptophyta, Magnoliopsida, Brassicales, Brassicaceae.
UUCCUCUCCAAUUCCUCCUCAUUUCCUCUCCAACUCCUCUCCCAUUCCUCUCUCCUUCGAAAUGAGACAUGUUCGGUGAGCCUGGUAGUCAGUUAGACCCUCCAGGUUCUUCUUCAGGUGCCGGCGGUUCCGUGUGAGUGGACUCGAGGCCUUCAUCGACGUUAUAGCGGCCACAAAUCCGGAAUGAGAAACUUUGUUGAGGAACAUGAAACAACAAAAUCCCAUUCCAGGCGAGUCAUCGGGCACACAUGACGAGGAGGAUGUUACGAGGAGGAGCAAGGAAUUCUACGAGGCGAAGAAUGGGCCUUAGUUUUUUUUUUGGUUCAUGUAUUAUAAAAUCCAAAACUUAUUUAUAUAUAAAAUAUUUUGUUGCA